Molecule: ribosomal RNA, 602 nt
Filed under: Colletotrichum crassipes
Lineage: Eukaryota; Fungi; Ascomycota; Sordariomycetes; Glomerellales; Glomerellaceae
Description: eukaryotic LSU rRNA
Rfam family: Eukaryotic large subunit ribosomal RNA
Source: RNAcentral
GUUGACCUCGGAUCAGGUAGGAAUACCCGCUGAACUUAAGCAUAUCAAUAAGCGGAGGAAAAGAAACCAACAGGGAUUGCCUCAGUAACGGCGAGUGAAGCGGCAACAGCUCAAAUUUGAAAUCUGGCCCCAGGCCCGAGUUGUAAUUUGCAGAGGAUGCUUUUGGUGAGGUGCCUUCCAAGUUCCCUAGAACGGGACGCCAGAGAGGGUGAGAGCCCCGUACAGUUGGACACCGAGCCUUUGUAAAGCUCCUUCGACGAGUCGAGUAGUUUGGGAAUGCUGCUCAAAAUGGGAGGUAUAUUUCUUCUAAAGCUAAAUACCGGCCAGAGACCGAUAGCGCACAAGUAGAGUGAUCGAAAGAUGAAAAGCACUUUGAAAAGAGGGUUAAACAGCACGUGAAAUUGUUAAAAGGGAAGCGCUUGUGACCAGACUUGCGUCCGGUGAAUCACCCAGCUCUCGCGGCUGGGGCACUUCGCCGGCUCAGGCCAGCAUCAGCUCGCUGUCGGGGACAAAAGCUUCAGGAACGUAGCUCUCUUCGGGGAGUGUUAUAGCCUGUUGCAUAAUACCCUUCGGCGGGCUGAGGUACGCGCUCCGCAAGGUGA